This 443-nucleotide ribosomal RNA is filed under the name uncultured bacterium. Its description in RNAcentral is "partial 16S ribosomal RNA". It matches the Rfam family "Bacterial small subunit ribosomal RNA", at positions 338 to 795 of the family's 1533-position model. The record is from RNAcentral.
CCUACGGGAGGCUGCAGUGGGGGAUAUUGGACAAUGGGGGAAACCCUGAUCCAGCGACGCCGCGUGAGUGAAGAAGUAUUUCGGUAUGUAAAGCUCUAUCAGCAGGGAAGAAAGAAAUGACGGUACCUGAGUAAGAAGCCCCGGCUAACUACGUGCCAGCAGCCGCGGUAAUACGUAGGGGGCAAGCGUUAUCCGGAAUUACUGGGUGUAAAGGGAGCGUAGACGGUAAUGCAAGUCUGGAGUGAAAGGCGGGGGCCCAACCCCCGGACUGCUCUGGAAACUGUGUAACUGGAGUGCAGGGGAGGCAGGCGGAAUUCCUAGUGUAGCGGUGAAAUGCGUAGAUAUUAGGAGGAACACCAGUGGCGAAGGCGGAUUGCUAGACUGUAACUGACACUGAGGCACGAAAGCGUGGGGAGCAAACAGGAUUAGAUACCCUAGUAGUC